GCACCUUGAGAGUUAUCUCCACCAUGUGUUGAACAAAUUCAGUGAACCACUGCUCUGUCUUCUUGUCUAUUGCUUUAGGGCACAAUCUAGUGAAGAGAUCCCUGCUCUCGAGCUCUUGCUGGUCCCUUGGUACCUCUGCAGUUUGUGUUACGGUUUGAGUUCCCCUCUCAAUCCCCAGGUCGAUUUGCCCUUGUUCAUGUGGUUCUCGUUCCGUGCUCUCCAAAGGUUAGUGAAGCUCACCCAGUUGGAAUUUUUAGCUCUACUGUUCCGUGUUGCAUAGAACGGGGUUGCGACAUCUCGGUUUGGCGUCGUGGAUAGCUUCCACGCGGUCCCAUUAACCUACGUUGUCCCCGAUCGACUUAACGCGAGCACCGAGAUCCUCGCAAGUCGUUGAAGCUUCCCAUAACCUCCGUUCAAGCUCUAAAGCGCGGUGGUCGGUAAUCCAGGUCUAGAGUCUCCGCGGUUGGGUUGAGCACGUGACUGAGUUUGCUUCGGUUCAUGGGUGUGCUGAUGCCAUUGUCAUAGGCUAUGUCGGGCCGUCGUGGCCAAUCCAGCAUGGGCUCACCGGAGCUACCCGCGGCGGAGUUGUGGCCGAGUUUCUAUAAAAGAUGAAAAACCGAAGGGCUUAUGUGUUGCUGUCAGUGACCCACGUAAAUACCGAUUUGGUCUCGUGUUGGUUAGGCAAAGCUGCGAGGGAUUUUGCGCAAAAGAGCCAGCACGGACUGCCGGCCAUGGCCCAUGGGCCAGCUUGUCCUGUUGCGCGGGCCGUCUGGGCUGGUUUAGGGCCCAGAACUGUUCAGUAUUUUGCCUUUUCUUUUGUCUGUGAGAUUGGAAAUUAAGCCAGAUAUCAUAGAAAAAUGAUAAAAUUUCAGGUCAAAUUUUGUUAGGUGUAGCAGCUAGAUAUUUUUAGGUGAAUAAAAAGUACUUUAAAUGAGCUUAUGUGAAUUUUAAUAAUAAAAGUAGAGCACUAAAAAUUAUAGGAAAAAUUGUGUAAGCUUAACUUGAGCAUAUGACCCCUUGGGUAAAGUUUGGAACUGUUUGGACAAGACUUGCUUAGCAAAUUAAUUAUUGCUCAAUAAAAUAAAAGAGUUUUACCCCUCGGUAGUUAAAGCACCUGAUGUCUUAGUAAAGAAUAAAGUUGUUUAGCAAGUUUUGGAUAGUUAGAUGAGUUCUAAGAGUGCUUAGUUCCCUGGUACCUAUAGCUUGUAGGUUUGGUCUAGGAGUAAUCUGUGUUAUCUCCUUUGCAAGUUGCAUAUUCCUAGCAUAAGCAAGCAUUCAUAUUCAUAUUCAUAUCAUUCAUGUAGAACACCAAGAAGAAGAAUUGGUUUUUUAAAGAAGGAACCUGCUCCAGUGCUAUUGAUCCAGUGAUGGACUCCAUCUAACUGCGUAUCGUGAUAGAAGAUCUCAUAUUCCUCUCGUAAUAAGGCAAGCCCUCGUGCAUUUGCCCCUUCCUUGUGUUUUAAAUGCUUUAUCACCUGAUAUGAUGCAUUAGGUGAUAGGAGUUGUGUGAUAAACAAUUUAUACAUUACCAUUACUUGGAAAUUCCUAAAUUCCUAUUUUAUAAAAAGAAUUAUCACUGCUUAGUCCUGUUCAGAAACUCAAAAAUCAUUUGUUUUUCAAAAGGAUGAUGUGUAACAUUGGUUAUGGGCAUUUGAUUCAAAAGUGAAAGAAAACUUAUGAUGUUGAGUCCAUCAGGGCUCCGGAUGGGUUCAUCAUCCGAAAAGAGUACCCCUAUUGGGUACCAAAAAUGGGAAAAUGGGUUGAAUAAAUGGAGACCAGACGCUGAGCAGACAAGGUCGCCUGUUUGUGUCGAUUAAGGACUGUACUGUUGACUGGCCUGUUGUGGUUGAGACUUUACAACUAGCCUCAUACCCUGGUAUGGGACAGGGUAAGCUUGAACCCGGCUAUUCCAUACGUGAAGAGACAAUCGCGCACUGGGAGUGGAGAGAUGGCGGGAGUAGCAUGUACCCUCCUAGCAUAGUAGCACGCCUAGUAGGGUAAUGAGCUCUCGGGUGGCGCGGACCUAUUCAUGUAGUGGAAAACUCCAUGGGAACGGUUGACAUAUGCAAGGGUUAAGUGCUACAUAUGUUGUGUGGUUAGAGAUCCCUAGCUGGGUAUAAUCGGUUCGAAUCGUCAUUGCUGCUCGGUUAUUGUCACACCCGGGUUUUAGGGGUCCAAAGCCCGGGCGCGAACAUAAUCAACAGGUGUGCUAGGACCAAGUCUAACACAUAUGAUGAAUCAUGGCACUGGAUCGAAUGCCACAUCUUUACUAUAUAAUAGGAGUUCUGUACAAAAUAAAUAAAUAAUUACAUUAUAAGGAGACAACGGUCUAGCAACCCAAAGUUGACUGGGAGACGACGACCUAGACCACUCACGAACUCGUCACAGCAUCCUCCAUGCUUCUCAUCCUGUGGUACCUGUUCUUGACAUGUGGGGGUGUGAGAUAUCAAGAGUGAGCUCACAUACGUUCAUAGCUCAACAAGUUGUGGGGAAUAAUGUGCAUGACUCGCCAAAGGUGGGAGCUCACGUGAAGUGUAAGGCUUACCAAAGAGGAUGGUUGAAGCUGAGCAUUGCUUUUAAAGUUGGUCAAAAUUUUAUUAGCAAUUACUAAGUAUAAGUAAAUAGCAACCCAAUUAAGUAGUAAAACAAAAGUAAUAACAACACCUGCGAUGCAAUGCAUAUGACAAAUUGAAUUUAUGUUUCAUAAAUUAAUCAUGUGAGGGUCCAAGCUGCUCAUUACCGUGAGCACGGCUAGUAUACCAGUUUUACACUCUGCAGAGGUUGCGCAUCUUUACCCACAAGUCAUGUUACCCAUUUGCCACGGGGUUGUACGGGCCCCAUACACCUCUACCAAGAAAGCGAGGCAGGGUAACACUACGAGGCCUUUACAAAGUUCCACUAGCUUCAGAAAACCAGCUACAGUUUAUAGGAAGCUCCAAUGUAGGGAUCCCUUGCCUGACCGCCAUCACAGCAAAAUCAACCAAGGACCUCCCCACACUGACCACUCCCCUACUGCCCUUGCCCCUUUCGGGUAAGGUAGUCCUCCACUAGCUUUCCUAAUUAAUCAGCCAAGGGCGUCCCAUUAAACCCUUGUGGUAGCACUAUUUUCCUGGGUGGUCGCUCCAUGUUCCAAUUAACAUAAUGAUCUUAUCAUGAACAGUAAAUAACAACUGAUAACAAAAGUAUAAUCAUGAAUAAUGUGUAUCUCAAUGCCCAAAACCACAUAUAGCACUAGCAAGUACUACCCAAAAAGUCCAGUGACAAACAAGGCAUAAAGAUAGACAAACUAGGGUAACCUAUUAGGUCCCAUCAAAAUUAACCUAUGCAGAUCAUUAUGAUUAAUUAGAACAUGAGUGGGUAAAAGAAGUGAUCAAGGGCACAACUUGCCUGGGACUUGAGAUUCCAGGUAUCAACUUGCUCACGUGUCCUCAAUGCUAAACGUAGCAAUACAGACAAACAUGGUAUAGGCAAAAUUAACAUCAUACCAAACAUAAUAAUAAACUAUGCAAUAACAAUCUACGCUGCGUAACGAGAUCGUAGGAACAAGAAUCACUAAAUUUGGAGUUAUAGUUAUUUAGUUAUGAAUUUCUGAAGUUAUUGAGCACCUAGAAUAGAUUAAUUCAAAUGAACAAUUUUAAUUCAAGUUUUAUGGUUAAACAAAGGUACUAGGUAAUAAACAAUACUUAAAUUAAUGCCACUUGAAUGAAUCAAUUUGGAGCUAAAUUCAUCAAGUUAUGAAUUUCCUAAGUUUGGGGCAUCAUUUUGCAUUAAAAAGAAUUUCUGUAUUUAAUUUAAUAGAUUUCUGAGUUACUUGGACUGCUGACACUAUUUAAUAGAAACCCAGGGGGGUUCUGCGCAAAAGAACCAAGACUCAGAACUCCCACAGUGUGGACUGCAGGUUGUUUAUAGUCAAAUAGGAGGUCUCUUUUGCAAAACGCGCAGGUCGAAAGGGUAUUGGUUAAUUCGGGUCGUUGGAUCCUGCAUCAAGGGCCACGAUUAGAGCGGGGAAGGUUAUAAUCCGAUAUGCGUUCAUUGCCCUAGGAUCAAAGAUCAAUGGCCCAAAAUCGUCCACGCUACAGAUUUAGCCCGGACCCUCAGAUUGAUGAUCUACGACCCAGACCUAUCCUAGCCGAAAGGGUACGCGAGGUCUAAUCUGUGUCGUCCAUCCAUCGAUCAACGGCGCACGACCCUUCUCCUUACCCCGACGCUCCCAAGGCAGAGUCGCCGGAAUCCCUGCGGCCGUGGAGCUCACCGGCGCACCAAAGUCGGCCACCCAGAGCUCAAAACCAAAUCGGAUAGGACUACACGAUGCUUAUGCUAUUGCGAACCUGGGUGGAGGGUACUCACCGUAAAUCGGGGGUCGAAGGAUGCCGGCCACGACGCAUGGUGGCUCCGUCGUGGACCAUCUGUCCCGGUGAGCAAUUGGGCUCGCCCGGACGGCCGUCUUCCCCCAACACGACCACGGACACAUCCCCGGUGAUGGGAUGAAGCCCCCUGGGUUAACAUCCAGGGCCCAUUGGCGACGAGAGCGGGGAUGCGCGGUGGCCACGAGAGUAUCGCACAACAGCUAUCUCACUGAUUCUCUCUCAUCUCUUGCAAUGGCGGAACUGGGUGCAUUGGGUUGGGGAGAACGAGGAGACUGCGACACCCGAUUUAUACUCUAGUAGCGAAGUCCGAGCGAGGCACGAGGAGCGAGAUCCCCGGCGAGGUAAUCGGCGUUCUGUUGCAACGGCAUCGGAGAGACGGGUCUGACAGAUGUGGCCCGCAAACUAGUGGUGCAGACACGGAGAAGGAAAGAGGAAGGGCUGACGCGAGGGCCCCACAAACCAGAGUCACGGUGCAAAUAUUGGUGAGCGGGGUCGACCUGCUGUGAUGGGCCGAGGGGAGGGAAAGGCAAUGUGGGCCAGAAGCAGGGAGUCGGCCCAAGCGAGUUUUCUUUCUUUUUCUUUUUAUUUUCCUUUUCUAUUUCCAUUUCUAAUUUGAAUCCCAAAUCUGCUCUAAAUUCAAGUCUAAGGUACAAUUGGAAUGCCUAACAUAAUGUGCAAUAAUUAUACUAAUCUAUUUAAUUACUUUAUUUAGUAUUAUUAUUUUAUUUUAGGUAAUACUUUCAGCAUGAGAUUCACACCUUAUUUAUAUUAUUAUUAUUUUUAAAUGCACAAGCAAUUAACUCCAACAUGAUGCACCAUUUUCUUUAUUUAAUAUAUUUAAUGCAAAGAUGAGAAAAUCAUCACAAGUAGCCAAUUAAAUAAAUUUUGAUAUGUUUCCCAAUUCCUAUACAUUUUAUUUCUUUCAAAAUUUGGGUAUUACAGUUAUGGAGACUCAUCCCGGUGACCAUCAUCGUAGUUAGGCAAAUCUAGAUUCAGGUAAAUCUAGAUUCAGGUAAAUAUCUAACUUGUGAAAUGAAACUUGGCAUAGGGAUCAACUGGUAGUAAGCUUUUCUGCCAAAAAGGGUCUUCGAUAAUUGAUAAGCUUUACCUUGAGUCCCAAAAUCCAGCAUACCCUUGAGAGUCUUUUCUUUAGUCGGGUAAGUCUUGCUGAGUAAUUGCAUACUCAGGGUUUUAUUCCCUAUGUUGUUGUAGGGAGGAUUCUUGCUAUCUUUAGCUCCUAAUAGUUGCUUUGUACGGAGGCCUUGAAGAUUUUAAUGCUUAGUUUAUUUCUUAUGGAAAGGCUUCACCUUUCCCAAUUGUGUAUUAAGUCAUGCACUUGAGUACUAUCAGGACUUGUAAUAAUUACAACUCUUUCUAUGAUGUAAAACUUGAGAUUUGGAAUUGUAAAAGUAUGUUUUGUAAAGUCUUCUGUUCUAUCUCCGAAG
Molecule: long non-coding RNA, 5812 nt
Filed under: Zea mays
Lineage: Eukaryota; Viridiplantae; Streptophyta; Magnoliopsida; Poales; Poaceae
Description: long non-coding RNA (ZMAY_LNC003795)
Source: RNAcentral